AUAAAUAGAUUUAAACAGUGGAUUGGUGGUAUUUGUUUACUUAUUUUUUCUGGCAAAGUAUAAGGGAGUUGUACUCCAGUCUAGUAGGUGGCUGUAAUGCAACAUGUAUUAGAUGCCAACCGCUGUUACAGCUAAUCGAAGAAUAACUAUUUUCGUGCUUUUAGGACCCGUAAUGCCAUUCUUCAAUGAGAUGGGCGUGGCUUCACAACUUUUUUGAAGAAAAUAUGCAGCGGAAGUCUCACGAGGGCAGAUACGAAUGAAUUGAUUUAACUAAUUAUGACAAAUGUUAAGAAUUUAAUAAAAGGACCUGAGCCCUAGGACCAUGCCUCAGGACUACCUGGCCUGUUGACUCCUUUCUGUCCUCAGUCCACCUGGUCAUGCUGCUGCUACAGUUUCAACUGUUCUGCCUGCGGCUAUGGAACCCUGACCUGUUCACUGGACAUGCUACCUUGUCCCGGACCUGCUGUUUUGGACUCUCUCUCUACCGCACCUGCUGUCUCUAACUCUGAAUGAUCAGCUAUGAAAAGCCAACUGACAUUUAUUCCUGAGGUGCUGACCUGUUGCACCCUCUACAACCACGUUGAUUAUUAUUAUCUGACCCUGCUGGUCAUCUAUGACCGUUUGAACAUCUUGGCCAUGUUCUGUUAUCUCCACCCGGCACAGAGGACUGGCCACCCCUCAGAGCCUCGUUCCUCUCUAGGUUUCUUCCUAGGUUCCGGCCACCCUCAGGGCCUCGUUCCUCUCUAGGUUUCUUCCUAGGUUCCGGCCUUUCUAGGGAGUUUUUCCUAGCCACUGUGCUUCUACAUCUGCAUUGCUUGCUGUUUGGGGUUUUAGGCUGGGCUUCUGUUCAGCACUUUGUGACAUUGGCUGAUGUAAGAAGGGCUUUAUAAAUACUUUGAUUGAUUGAUGUUUCAAGUGUGUGCAGAUGGACAGAGUAUAUUGAAGAAGAGUGUGUAGAAGGACAACAGUGUUGCAAUUGUGGUGGGAUCAUGAUCCCGAGUUCCUGGAGUGCCUUGUAAGGGUGAAGGAGAUUGAGGUAGCAAAACUUAGAGCGGUCAAUCGAAUCUCCUAUGCGGAGGCGAUUAACCCUUGUGUGGUGUUCGGGUCUGUGAGACCCAUUUUCAAUGUUUACUAAAAGAAAAAUGAUACAAUUAAUUAUUUUUUCAACCUGCUACUCAUUGGCCUUGGCUCAUUUUCUGUGGAGAACAUGUAAAAUAAAUCAUUUUCAUUGAGUGCACACUGCA
Oncorhynchus nerka (sockeye salmon) is the source of this 1244-nucleotide long non-coding RNA. RefSeq lists it as uncharacterized. The transcript is spliced from 2 exons. NCBI's taxonomy places the organism in Eukaryota, Metazoa, Chordata, Actinopteri, Salmoniformes, Salmonidae. The record is from RefSeq and is a predicted model, not a curated record.